RNAcentral lists this ribosomal RNA (252 nucleotides) under uncultured bacterium. Its description in RNAcentral is "partial 16S ribosomal RNA". It matches the Rfam family "Bacterial small subunit ribosomal RNA", at positions 524 to 776 of the family's 1533-position model. The record is from RNAcentral.
UACGUAGGUGGCAAGCGUUGUCCGGAUUUACUGGGCGUAAAGAGCUCGUAGGCGGUGUGUCGCGUCGGCCGUGAAAACCUGCAGCUUAACUGUGGGCUUGCGGUCGAUACGGGCAUCACUGGAGUUCGGCAGGGAGACUGGAAUUCCUGGUGUAGCGGUGAAAUGCGCAGAUAUCAGGAGGAACACCGGUGGCGAAGGCGGGUCUCUGGGCCGAUACUGACGCUGAGGAGCGAAAGCGUGGGAGCGAACAGG